This 177-nucleotide non-coding RNA is filed under the name Anaerolinea sp. RNAcentral's name for it is "6S RNA". It matches the Rfam family "6S / SsrS RNA". From Rfam's summary of the family: E. coli 6S RNA was the first non coding RNA to be sequenced, but its function was unknown until recently. It consists of 184 nucleotides that fold into an extended hairpin structure with a large single-stranded internal bulge. The 6S RNA specifically associates with RNA polymerase holoenzyme containing the sigma70 specificity factor. The record is from RNAcentral. Lineage: Bacteria; Bacillati; Chloroflexota; Anaerolineae; Anaerolineales; Anaerolineaceae.
AACACCCUGCUGUGUGCGUGAUGUUGCAACAUCGGUUUUGAGCCAACACUUUAAAAAGGGGUUCCUCGCUCACAAGAGUAACGCGAUAGGCUUCGGCCAAGGCGGGUCUUCUGUGGCGGUACCCAUCCUGCUUCGGCAGGUUCAAAACUCUGCAACACACGGCAUGGCGGGGACUUU